Molecule: ribosomal RNA, 216 nt
Filed under: Glomeromycotina sp.
Lineage: Eukaryota; Fungi; Glomeromycota
Description: partial small subunit ribosomal RNA
Rfam family: Eukaryotic small subunit ribosomal RNA (bases 40-216)
Source: RNAcentral
GGGUCAGAAGGUUGGUCGUGCCACCGGUACGUACUGGUCUCACUGAUUCCUCCUUCCUGAAGAACCGUAAUGCCAUUAAUUUGGUGUUGCGGGGAAACAGGACUGUUACUUUGAAAAAAUUAGAGUGUUUAAAGCAAGCUAACGCUUGAAUACAUUAGCUUGGAAUAAUGAAAUAGGACGAUCGAUCCUAUUUUGUUGGUUUCUAGGAUUGACGUA